AAACUACCUUACAGCACUCUGCCUGGUUGCUAAGUAACAUCACCUCAGCCACCCUCUUAGCUGACUUAUGGAUAACAAAAUUAACCCAUAAAUUACAUAUGGAAUGAUCUCUUCUGUUACCCUUCCAGCAGUUAUAAAUCUUUACAGGUACAGUUUUAUUGUUUUUCUCACCAACAGACGCCUCUCCAGAUCUAUUAAUACCGUAAGAUGAGGCUUUCAGAUUUGAGGAUCAGUGACCUUGCCCCAAUCAUAAUAAAUUAUCGUCCUGCCCACCACCCCCGCCAUUGCGCCAUAGUACCUGACUUUCCUUGAGCUUUUCUUUAUAUGAACCAAUUUAUCAUAAAAGAGGUUGGAGAGGAACAAGGACUGCGGAAAAUGUAUCCCGAGAAAGCUAGUCAAAAUUGGAGCCACUGAAAAGCCUUCAUCCUAAUUACAAAAGACAGAAUCUCAAGAAUAACCGGUAUGAAACUAUUCUAAAAAGAAAAUUGCAUCUCCUCCACUGUGCUCUGAUCUGCGUGGGAAGAUACCUUCUUCUUAUCUUCCCUUUUGUUUGACUAGAUCUGGGUUGGCAUGUCCGCGCUAAAUCAUUCUCUAAGUCUUGCCUUGUUUUUCAAACAAAUUAUCAGACCAAAUUACUUACUCCGCUCAGAUAAUGACGCCAUUCAGAUUGUCUAAUGUACAAUUUCCUGACACUCUCCGCAGUGGUUUCUUAGGAACCCAUUCACAGGGAGACCUGAGAUCAGAACCUCUUCCAGCCUCAGUCCAACCCUGGGAAAGGUAUUAAUGUGCAAAUGUUGCAUAAGAAGGUAGUGGGGAUGCACUGCAAUGCACACUGCAAUGCGCACCCCAUGCAAAGUAAUAUAGCACAGGUAGAUUGCAUCCUUCCCCAACUGUGUACAGUGGUACCUCUGGUUACGUACUUAAUUUGUUCCGGAGGUCCGUUCUUAACCUGAAACUGUUCUUAACCUGAAGCACCACUUUAGCUAAUGGGGCCUCUUGCUGCCACUGCGCCGCAAGUUUCUGUUGGGAUUUCUGUUCUCAUACUGAGGCAAAGUUCUCAAUUCGAGGUAACUCUUCCAGGUUAGCGGAGUCUGUAACCUGAAGCGUAUGUAACCCGAGGUACCGCUGUAUUCAGAUGAAAACUACCAGCGGGGGUGGGUGGGGAGGGAUUCAGGACAUUAUACGCCAGGGGUCAGCAAACUUUUUCAGCAGGGGGCCAGUCCACUGUCCCUCAAACCUUGUGGGGGGGGCGGACUAUAUUUUUUUGGGGGGGAAUGAGCAAAUUCCUAUGCCCCACAAAAAAACCCCAGAGAUGCAUUUAAAUAAAAGCACACAUUCUAGUCAUGUAAAAGCACGCUGAUUCCUGGACCGUCCGCAGGCCGGAUUUAGAAGGUGAUUGGGCCAGAUCCAACCCCCGGGCCUUAGUUUGCCUACCCAUGUUAUACGCCUAUCGGCUUAGAGUUCUGAAUUUCCUUAGCUCAGGAGUGGAUCAUCUUUUUCUUUUGUUGAAAAUCAUAUUCCCUGGGGAUAAUCUGCCAGGGACCACAUAGCUGUGGUCUCAGGCGGUUCAAAGAAAAUCCUUGCCACCCAAAUGAAGUUACAAGUAGGGCAAGGAUGCAUGAAAUUAGGUUGAGGGCCAUGCAAGGCCCUAGGGCUGGUGUGGCAAGCUUCUGGCCCUUCAGAGUUCUGCUGAACUACAACUCCCAUCAGCCCCAGCAAGUAUAGCCAUUGACCGGGGGGAUGGGAAUUGUAGUUCAGCAACACCUGGAGGGCCGAAAGUUCCUCACACUUGCCCACACCUGCCUCAGGUGGACGUAGGAGACUGACUUUCACCUUCUGUUCUGUCCAAUAAGCCACACUCAUGGGAAUCAUAAGCCACACAAAGCCUUGGGUGUUUAAGGAAUAAGUUCUGCAAGAGCACCUGACCCAAUAAAAGUGACAUAUUAAUAUUAAUAACAUUAAGAAUAAUAUGAAUACAUUAUCACUGCAAACCAAAUGAUUUUGAUUAAACUGUCCCCAUACAAACUCGGUUCACUAAGGUACAGAGCUCUCUGCUGAGGUGUUUUUGUAUAUCCGACGUUGUCAUAAAAGUUGCGGCAUAAAUAUUUCAUGAAUAAAUAAAUUGCUGUUUUUGUUGUUUUAAUUCUGUAAGGUGCCCUGGAAAUAUUAAUGCUGUAGGGUGACAUUUUGAUAGAACAAAACAAAGAAUAGAUAUGAAAAUUAUGAGAAAAUCUUAAUGCGAAAGCUAUUUAAACAUUGCAUAGUGCAGUAAAUAUAUACAACCAGCAGGACUUGCCACAUUGUUUUCUGUUUUAAUUUGAUGGGUCACCUUCUCUAUUACACAUAAAUCACCUCUUCUAAUUAGUAAUGAUCCGUUUAUUGCCUUACCUGUCCCAUCCCCCACUCACACUUCCCAACGCCCUUGGAUCAGUUAACAUUUAAGCCUUGUAGGCUACAGUCCUAUGCAUGCUUACCUGGAAGUAAGUCCCAUAAAACUUAACAGAGCUUACUUCUGAGUAGACAUGUAUCGGAUUGCCUUAUUGGUGAAGCUACAAUUGUAGAACGCACCCCUCUCUGCAUAUACAGCCUUCCAGACAAGGGAAAUAUCUUCCUUUCCUUAGAGGACAAAUGAAGAAACUGGCAUCAGAGAGCACAGCUGUGCCACACAUUAAGGCUAAAUUGCUGAAUCCUCGAGCCCACCCACACUUCUUUCCACAGCUUCUCAGACUUCUGGAUCCUCCUAACCCUGCACGAUCUACUAGAGUUGUGCUCUUGAAAAAUUACUGUUGCAUUUCAUCUCAUCCCUUGUUCUGUUUUGUUUCCAGGAACCCAAUUUCCUUACUUUUCCAUUUGUCAUUGUCUCAUUUGUUUAGUUUCCAUUUCAUUACUGUUUCGUUCCCUCCUCUUUUUCUUUUCUUGGUUAUUCAUUUCAUUUCUAGGUUAAUUAGAACAGAGAUGCAGCCAUAACAUUGGUGUUUACCAUCCAAACGGCAUUAAAUACGUGUGGAUGUUGUGCUAUUCGCCUAAGGCAGACGUUCCCAAAACAGGGGUGGAAGAACCUCUGGGCUCUGGGCCAUUCUUGGCCUACGAGGCAGUCCGAGUUGGGCUGCUAAGACAUUUCCCCAAAACCAAACCCACCUGACCAUCAGCUGACAUGACCAGGUGACAUCAGUUGGCUAGCAUGGUUCAGUCCAGCUGAGUGCUGUUUCACCAGCUCAUUCCCUGCAGGGAAUGUGCUGGUGAACGAGACCCCUCCAUCUGGCCCCAUGGGUCAUCUUUGACAGGUGGGAGACAGAGGGCCUACCCCUGCCCACCUAUCAGUCACCUGAUGUCAUUGCGAUGACUGACAGGUGGGUGGGGUCAAUGUUGUCUCAUGGUGGUAGGGUGAGAAAGAUUUGUAGAAACAGAUUUAGUCACUGGGAGAGGAUAUACUGUUGUUAUUAUCCUUCCUUGCUCACUUUAGUGAGAUCAACAGAGUACCAUCCUUUGCAGCUUAAACUUGGAAGCUAAGACAAAGUUGACCUAACCUUCUAGAAACAAUAAUCCAGGAUGCUUUAAGGCAGACUGGAUUUUCCUGGUAUUGCCCCUUUUCUCCCCCUUAAAAACAACGAUCACACACCCACACAUGGUUGUGUGAACAAAUAAAAGUAGUAUUUACUUACAUAAUCUAGGCCUUGAAGCAGCAAUUAAAGUUGCAAAAUGAAGGCAGGUUUGUAACUACUGUACUAUCUAAGUUACAAAAGUACAAAAUGGAAGUAUUUUUUAAAAAGGUGUCGGAGCUGCAGAGAUCAAGCAUGCAUGUGUCAUCAGCUUCGGAGCAUGAUGAAGAAAAAGAGAGGUGCCUAGGCAAGAAGGAAGUGUGCAGUGUUAAAGCUUCCUGCCAGGGCAGCCAAAGGAAGUGACCUCACAGAGUUCUCUCUAGCAAAUAUUACAGGAAAUCUCUGUGAGCCUCAGCUCCUUCAUGUUUCUAUCUGGCAGAACAUGAUUUGUUGGUAUGACUACGAUAGUG
Molecule: long non-coding RNA, 4009 nt
Filed under: Podarcis lilfordi (Lilford's wall lizard)
Lineage: Eukaryota; Metazoa; Chordata; Lepidosauria; Squamata; Lacertidae
Source: RNAcentral